CCCAACCAAGCCCUCCAGCAAGGAUUCAGGGUGCCCCUCCGGCCUCGCCAUGAGGCUCUUCCUGUCGCUCCCGGUCCUGGUGGUGGUUCUGUCGAUCGUCUUGGAAGGGAUUGGUUUUCAGAGACAUUUCGGAAAGUGAAGGAGAAACUCAAGACUGACUCAUGAGGACCUGAAGGGUGACAUCCCAGGAGGGGCCUCUGAAAUUUCCAACACCCCAGCGCCUGUACUGAGGACGCCCUCCAUGUGUGUCCAAUGUGGUCACACGCCCAGGUGUGACCAAUAAAAAUCCUAUGGAAAAUUC
Homo sapiens (human) is the source of this 301-nucleotide long non-coding RNA. Ensembl annotates it as apolipoprotein C1 pseudogene 1. Its record names the gene APOC1P1. NCBI's taxonomy places the organism in Eukaryota, Metazoa, Chordata, Mammalia, Primates, Hominidae. The record is from Ensembl.